UACGAGGGGGGCGAGCGUUGUUCGGAAUUAUUGGGCGUAAAGGGCGCGUAGGCGGUGCGGUAAGUCUGCAGUGAAAUCUCUGGGCUCAACUCAGAGUCUGCUGUAGAAACUGCCGUGCUUGAGUGUGGGAGAGGUGAGUGGAAUUCCCGGUGUAGCGGUGAAAUGCGUAGAUAUCUGGAGGAACACCGGUGGCGAAGGCGGCAUCCUGGACCGACACUGACGCUGAGGAGCGAAAGCCAGGGGAGCAAACGGG
Molecule: ribosomal RNA, 253 nt
Filed under: uncultured bacterium
Lineage: Bacteria
Description: partial 16S ribosomal RNA
Rfam family: Bacterial small subunit ribosomal RNA
Source: RNAcentral